Molecule: long non-coding RNA, 6133 nt
Organism: Chelonia mydas (Green sea turtle)
Lineage: Eukaryota; Metazoa; Chordata; Testudines; Cheloniidae
Exons: 3
Source: RefSeq, a predicted model, not a curated record
GAAAUUGUGGUGUAUUUGUGCAGGGGAACGUGGAGGCCAGCUGUGUUCUCUGGCUGCUCUGUGGUGUUCUGGUGACACAAAGCAGCUUAUAACCUGGUCUAAUUGGCCACUACACUCUGGCUUCUUUGUGUUGUUUCAGAGUGGCAGAAAGCAACGAUAGUGUACCAAUGAAUCUGGUCCUAAAAGUUAAAAUUCAAAAAAAAUUAUUUAAGGCUGAUAUCAUUCAUCUUCCAGUCAUUAGAGAUAUCCUGGUAUAAUUCUCUGUAGUUCUUGUUCAGUAUGUUCAUGUAUGACAUUUUUAAUAAUUUAAAAAAAAAAAAAGUAUAUUCCCAGACAAAACCUACAUUAGGGUGGAGAUAAGGUUGAGAGUAUCUAUCGGUAAUCUGGGUAAAAUACAUUUUAGGGAUCAUAGAAGUGUAGGAUUGGAAGGGACCUCAGUAGGUCAUCUAGUCCAGUCCUCUACACUCAAGGAAGUACUAAAUAAUAACUUGACCAUUUCUGACAGGUGUUUGUCUAACCUGUUCUUAAAAACCUCCAGUGAUGACAGUUCCACAACUUCCCUAAUGUGGAUGUUGUAAUUAUAUCAGAAACUAGCAUUAUAAAGCCAGCAGAUAAAAAGUGACGGUUACACUUAGAAGAAAUCCAAAUAUGUUAAGGUAUAGAAAUGUUAUGUGUAUAAUUUUAUUUAUAUAUAUAUAUAAAAAAAAAUACUGUCUCUCUCUCUCUCAAUCUUACAUCCACAAAGACUCAAAUGCUUUAAUUGUAAUCUGAUAUUGCACAGUGUCACUACGGGUCAGAGUUAAGGUUGUUUGGCUGCUGUAACUGUCCAUUUGCAUACCUUAAAAUAUUUGGAUUUAUUUUAAACUGUGAUUUUAUUGUAUUAUGGUUAUGUGUCUAGAACCUUAUAUAGGUAUCUUAUUGUUAUGGAUAUCUAAAUGAAAUUAACUUGAGUUUAUAAUGUUUGUUUCUGAAAUAAUUACAUCAUCUAUGUAAUGUAUUUUACCUAAGUUACUGAUCUGACUUCCAGCCUUAACUCAGUCUUAAUAUUGUUUUGUUUGGGAAUUAAUAAUAGCUUUCAGCAAGAAGGGAAUUCAUUCCUAUCUGGAUAAUUCUGCUAACCAGAGCUUUGUGCAGCGAGAAAGCUGAAGUAAGCAGGCACUAAGAUACAGUUUUUGGACCUUCCCAGAUUCAUGAUAAACACAGAAGCCAUACAGAGCCAGGGAAGACAAUCAGAGACCAGGGGUGUGUGUGGUGGGGUGUGACACUUCCUGGGGAUAUCUAGGGUUGUGAAGCACCUCGCUACCACCUGAUCUUAGCGUGAGGAAGCCUUGUCCAGCUGCCAUGGGUUAGCUUCCCUACUCCACCAGCCAAGGGCAACACAAGCACUUCCAUUUGAGCCUGCGUAGGCUUCUUUGUCUCUCUACAGGUUAGUGAAAGGCACGCUCCAAACCCUGAGCUCUCUGAGAGUCCCACUGGAGUGUCCAGCCCCUGGUCCACUGGAUGUUCACAGUAUUCACAGAUCUGCAGCUUCUAAAGAAACAAUUCAGCCGCAACUUGCCAGUUACACCUCAGAUCACUGCUCCCCUUAACACAGAGUGCUUAGAUAUGUUUAUAGUGAAAUCAGGAAUAGGUUUAAUAAAAUAGAGCAAUUCAAAAUCAUAGCAAGUAGAAGUAUUGGAAAUAAAUGGUUAUGUAUAAAAUUAUAACACAUUCUAGAGCCUAGACUUAAUUAACAAGAGACUCUCUUGUCUAAUAAAGUAGUGCUCACCAAAGCUUUACAGCCAGGCUGGCUGUGACCCCUCUUUCAUGAGGCAUAACAUGCUGUCAGCUUGCCUUCUUAGUAAAGGGUCCAGGGUGUUAACUGGCACCACUAAAUAUAUCAGAACAAUCCUUUAUCCUUAUUCAUAAACAGGACCUCACCUCCACUGAUUGUUUCUUCCUGUGGCUUUCCUCUCUUGUGGAUUUCUCAAUCUCUCAAAUGGCGUCGGGGUCAGUAUGCAGAUAGGUAUACACUGUGAGGCAGACAAGGCACAUAUCGGACUAGGAGAGAAGCAUCUGUUACGACCUGCCUGAAAAGAACAUUCCUGAGGUAUGUCCCCUCCUGGUGAUCUGCCUUAAUCCAAAGUCUUUAAGAACAUACUUUUCAAUAUAAAUACAUCACUUCUUAAUAAUUAUCUGUACAGGCAUUUCCCAAUGAUGAUGACCAGACUGCUACUGGCUCACAGUGGAGUCCUUAUAUGCCACCCUUUGGUGAACUAAUGUGCAUAUAAACCCUGUGCACCUCGUGUGCUCUCCGCCAAUUGGCUCCAAGGGGCCCUGGGUCACAUGGAGGUGAUAAGGUUACUAUCAGGUACAAAGUGUUCUUUUCACAGGAACAUUAACGAAAGAUGAAGAUUGCCAUAAAAAGAACAAGAAGGUACCACAGAAAUAAGAUCCAGUCUCUAUUGGAGCCUAUUAGGAAUGUUGAUCUUAUGCACAGAUCUGCUCGAAUGGACCAUAGCUCAUGGGACUUUGACUACUGCCAAUCGUCUGUUCUGCAGGCCCUCCACACUGUGGAGAAUCAGACUCGUGCCUAUAAUAGGAUGCCUGCUGCAGUUUGGAUAAAUAAAGCAGGGCAAAUAUGAACAACCCUACACCAGAGAGAGAGGCUUAGAGCAGAGCAAGGUUCCCUUUCUGUGUACUGCACAUCAAGGAGAAGAUGAACCCCAAAAUUUACUGGUUUACAGGCAGAAGUUAGAUUAAGCAGAGCAGACCCCAGCAAGUAAGUGCAAUGAGUUUGGGGAGGAUAUGCUGCAUUCUUCAUAUAUAAUACAAAAUGUUGAAUCCCAGCUUUAAGUGCAAGGCUCAGCGCCACCAUAUCUAUUGAGGUAUGACCAGCACCUCCAUAAUUAAUAGGGUUACAUCCCAAUCUUCGAUGUGCGCACGUUACUGCAUAUGCUCAGAGAAACCAUAACUGUAAACAUCUGUGGACUCACAGGGGCAGGUUUUUGAGCCAUGGUCAGUGUAUGCCAGAUUCAAGACUCAGUUUAUAAAAACAGAGAUUUUUGAAAAGCUUAACACUUUUUUAUCUCUUUCUGACGAAGUCUGGCCAUUUAGCAGCCUUGGUUUAAUUCUCAGACUUAAGUCAUUGAUUUACACUGUGCUACACAGUUACCCUGAUGUGCUAUCAGGCUCCUGGUUGACCUCGUUGCUGAAUAUUUAUAUAUUGUUGCCUAUGGGCUUGACAGUGGUUGAUUUUAGGGCCUUGCAAGAGGUGGAAAGUAACUAAUGUAAUGGAGUCAGUUCUGGCAUAACCUGUUUAUUUAUACCAUAUGCUUAUUGACGCAAUGCAUGGGAGCCCUCUUACUCUUGAUCUGAGAGAAACCCUGAGCUGCCUCCAUCACGGAGUCUUCAGGUCUCCAACCAUCCUCCCAACUACCCCAGACGUUCCCCACAUGGCUGCUCUGUAGCCUCCCAAGCAGGAUCCAGAAUAGCAGAAGCAGGUUCAUCCUUGGCAGAUUCAUCACUGAUCUAUUCUUGGCUGGAAGAUUCAUUAUAAUAUCAGUGAGGCUCCUAUCGUGCUGCUCUCUGGGAUAAAUCUGCACAGAGGUGGUGAUAUAGCUGUAUAAUAAUAUGCAAUGGAUACAGAACCAUACAGUAGGGGGCCAUGAAAACUUCUAAGCCUUAUGGGAGGCACAUGUUGGGAACUAGAGUCCUUGGCACCAAAAUAUUCCUUCAGUGUGAUUAGUGAUGCUGUGUCUUACUCCUGUGAUGUCACAAGACCCCUCAUCGUUCCCUACUGGUGUAUUGGAGAUGCAGAAAUACUGUUUUCAGGUAAAAAUUCUAACUUCCCAGAUUUCUGUAUUCCUGUUGUUUUCGACUCCAGACCCCUUCUAUCCAAACUAAAAUUCCAGCCUGUCUCUCUGACAUCUCUUGGAUGUCUAGCCAUCCGCUCAAGCUCAAUAUGGCUAAAACAAAGCUCAUAAUCUCCCUCCCAAUGUCCUUUCUUGAUCACAACAUUACCUUCCUGUCUGUCAUUCAGGCCCAUAACCUGUCACCGUCUUCAACUGAGACCUCUUUCUCUGUCCUCAGAUUCAGACUAUAUCUAAAUAUCACAGAUUCUUUAAGAAAAACAUUUUCCUAUUCACCUAAGCAGCUAAAACUCUCAUCCAGGCUCUCAUCAUCUCACUGCAAUAUCCUUCUCUCUGACCUUGACAAAUGCAAUCCAACCCUGCUUCUAUCCAUUCAGAAUGAUGCUGCAAAGAUCGUUCUUCUAGCCUGUCACUUUGACCAAGUCACCCUUCUCUUUGCAUCCCUCCACUAGCUCCCCCUUUUCUAUUGCAUCAAAUGUAAGAUACUUGUAUUCACUUUCAAGGCCCCUCAUGGCCUUUCCCCACCCUACCUGUCACCUCUCAUUCACUACUGAGCUGUCAACUUCUGCCUCCUAUCAGCUGCUUGUUACAUUUUCUUCCAUGCUGCCCUUCAUACUUGAGGGGAGCUUCCUGUAAAUAGCCACAAAACUAAUGCACUAUCCUCCUUCAAAUACCUCUUUAAAACUUCCCUUUGCCAUGAUGACUACAAAAAAAUUGACAACAUUUAAGUCACUUCUGCGCUGUCUGUCAUGUUGGUUAAUAUUGUCUCAUUGUUUCCAGGUACUCCCCAUCUAGCUGCCUGUGUCCGUUUGUUGUCUCUUGGCUUAUACUCACUUGUAAGUGCUUUGCGGCAGGGACUUUUUCUUCUGUAUCUGUACAGCACCUGGCACAGUGGGAUCUUCGUUCAUGACUGGAAUUUCUAGGGGCUUAUUGUAAUAAAAAUAAUAAAUUAUUACUGAGGGAUAUUUGCGUAAUGACACAACCUCUUGUGCUCUGGCUGCUUAUUUCCCUACAUGAUGUCACAAGUUUCAGCUUGUGACAUGGCACAUGGUUGCUGUAGAGGUGUUUGUGAUCUCUAAAUGGAAGACUGAAGUAUCGUGACUUGGUAUUCAAAUUGGGCAGUCAAGGUUUAAUGACCCUGGCAGACAAUCAGACCACUGACCCCUCCACUCCUGAACACACACUAAAUUGGCCCUGUGAGUAAAAAAUAAAAGAGGAGGAUUUGGAGAGCAGUACACAAAAGUACCUUCAGCCUGGUUAAAAGGGGCAUGGAAGACUGUCGUCAUGACCUUGUUGUAACGUACUGCUCUGUUGCACAUUAUGGGGCCUAUGUUUGAAUCGCACUGUGGUUUUCUUCUCUAGCACCAUCUCCGAGACCCGUAAUGGCAGAACGCCAUAGCACUGGCAUUCAUGGUGGUCCAAAUUAUACAAGGGAAGGAAGGAGGAAAUGUGCGCUUGCAGUAUGUUGACCCCCUAUUAAUUUGCGGAAGGGGUCUGAAAUACUGGGACCAUAUUUGGGAGGUCCCCUCUUUGACUAGGGGAGAUUGGCAGAGCAUGAAGAGGGUUUGAUGGGAGUCAGCCUCCAACAGGAGCUAAUAAGCAAUGACAACACAUCCUGAGGAAAAGUAACUUUAGACACAGUUUUACUUUUUACUUGCUGUCCCUAUAUGUGCGUGUGAGAUUCUGUGCGCACACACAACACUAUCUCACGUACACACACACACACGUACACAGACACCCCCCCACUAUCUCACAAACAUCAUGCUGGAAAAGAGGUGGGGAGGAGAGAAUCCCUGACCCUUCUGCUUUUGGUUAUGGAGAAAUUAUUGGAUGGUGAAGAUGAGCAUGCUCAUCUUCUACUUGAGUGAAAUCACCUGCAUCUGGUCCAGCAGAGGCAGGCAGGAUGCCCAUAGUUAGUAAUACACCACACACCAGCUUGCAGAGAAGGUGAGGAAUGUGUACGUGUGUGUUCAUUUCCGAUUAAGCUGUGUGUGCACAUGCAGACUUGCUGUCUAGGUAGUUUUAAUGUAUGUAGAUAGACUUUAAUGUAUAUAGAUAGACUUUAAGGUUUCUGCGGUUAUUGUUUUUUGAUUUCUCCCUUUAGUGCAACUGUUGGGGGUAAAUCUGAAGUUACAGAGAUGGACCUUCUAAUGGUCAAUUAAUCAGGAAAAAGAUCUUGGAGUCAUUGUGGAUAGUUCUCUGAAGACGUCCACGCACUGUGCAGCGGCAGUCAAAAAAGCAAACAGGAUGUUAGGAAUCAUUAAAAAGGGGAUAGAGAAUAA